Molecule: long non-coding RNA, 4464 nt
Organism: Ficedula albicollis (Collared flycatcher)
Lineage: Eukaryota; Metazoa; Chordata; Aves; Passeriformes; Muscicapidae
Source: Ensembl
ACAGAGUUCCCAGCCUUUGUCCCUCUGCUGAAUUCCUGAUUCAGCAGAUGUGUUCAGGAACAGACAGCAGGUACAGGCACACAGGUGCCCAGGGACACUGACAGCACAGGUGCUCAGGGACACUGAGGACAGCAGGUACAGGCACACAGGUGCCCAGGGACACUGAGGGCACAGGUCCAAGCUUGGUGCUCAGUGCUGCCCCACCACCAGCCCUUCCCACACACCCUCCUUCCAACAUUGGAAAUAAACCUUUGUUUUCCUUGUUCACAACCACUGCUGAGUACCUGAGUCAUACCUUGAAGCAAACUGUGAGGGGGAGCAGGGAACCCCCACACUCAUCCUCGUCCUCUGCAGGAAAAGGAGCCAGAACAAACCAGCAAAGCUUCAUCUUUGCACGUGUGCAGAAGAGUCGGGCUCGAGGCUCUCCUGGAGAAAUCUCACAUCAUGGGAAUUUCAUGGGAACCUGCAAAAACAGAAACCUGAGCCAGGACACAAUUUCACUGAGCUGUAGAGACCACAGGUCACUGAUUCUGAAUGACUUGUAUCUAGGGCUGGCUCAUGCCCACAUUCCAUUCCUUUCUCCUUUUGAUUGUCUCUAUAUCGUCACGCAGCUAAAAUUCAGAUGUGCAGUGGAAACAUUAUUUCCUCCACUCACAAUGAUUUUUACUGCUCCUGGAGCUUUGGUUCUGCUUUGCUCAUGCAACUUUCCCUCUGUAGUUCCAAAAUGGCAGUUCUUUAACUGAGCAUGGAAACAGAUCUUAACUCUCUACUCAUAAAACCAUUGAAGACAUUGCUGUUCCCUGGUAAGAUAACACCCCUGACAUCUCAGUGGGGUAUGGCAGGAGCAGGAUUUCCUCCCACACCAUCCAUCACCCUGAACUGAGAUGCUGUGGGGCACAUCUCUCAUCCUGGCCAAGCAAGCACUGCUUGAUGCAAAAUGAGAUGGGAAAUAGUUUUCAGACACUUUUCCACUCCUUUAAUCCUAGGUUUACCUUGAUAAUAUGUGAUUUAUUGUAUUUUGCAUCAGUGGUUAAAACACCAAGACAACGACAUUCUUUAUCUAAAGCAGACAAAAACAAGGUUUAACAAACCAGGUGGCCAGGACAACAAACAAAGCAGAGCCUGUGGUUUCCUAAUUCAGGUUAGUCUGUCUACUUGUGGGGAUGAAAUAUUGGUGCAAUUUUAAGAUGGUUGAGAACAACGAGUGAAUGAAGCCUGGUGUGUCUGUACCAGGAGGGGAGUCCUCAAAGGAAAGAGAAUUUAAUAGGACAGACCCUUAAAAACUACACUUUGGUCCAAGAGGAGUUACAGAUAUUUUUAAAUUUAAAAACAUGGUGAUACUCGGACACUGAAAAUUCAUUAACUCUGAAUUUCAGCCAAGAACUCAAGCUAAAACACAGGACACUGAAAUCAAGCAAGAGCUCAGGAAAAAGGAAUUAUCUGAGCUGACCUAUGAGCACACAAAAUAUUUGAGAUGUAUAAUUUAAAGAGAAAGUUGUCAGUAUUUAACUUUUACUGAAAUUAGGCAACUAAAAAUAUAGCCAAAAUUUGACAGAGCAUACUAUCAGUCAAGAAAAUCCAAACACAAAUAUGCUGUACAGAUAACACAGCAAUAGAUCCAGCUCUGGAUCACCAGCAGGGAGCAGAAUUAUAGUUACAUGAGUAUUUAUCGAAAAGCUUACAAAAGUAAUAAAAACAAAUGAAACCAAUCAAUCAAAAUUGGUCAAGGACCUUGAUCAGUGAUUAUUCUCAGUAACACACGGGGAGCCUCAGCUGCAGCCUUUGAGGUUAAAGUUGGAAACAAAGGGUGACACUCCGGAGCUGUGCACAGGAAAGCACAGCCUGCCUUGGCUCUGGCAGGAGAAACACAGACUGUCAGCAGGCUGAGAGAGAAAAGUGCAGGGCAGGGGCAGUGGAGGCCUCUCAGCCCCAGCUGAGGGGGGCACGCAGUGAAGGACAGGGAGGCUGCAGAGCACCCACAGCACCCAGAGCCCCCCACACCCCGGGGCUCCCACAGGACCCACAUCUGCCGUCUGCCACUGCACCUGCAGCUGCAGCCAGCCUCCUGCACUGCCUCUUUCCACAGCCUGACCGACAGCAGGGUCUUUAAUCAUGCCCACGGCUCGUUUUGCUGACCCCUUCAACAAACAUAAGAUCUCCUCCAUCAGAUGCCAUCAGACACAGCUGCUCUCAGCUGCACAGUCAGAGCACCUCAGAACGCAGAGAGCUGGAGGGGUGCUGCUGACCCACCCUUACCUUAUGAGAUAUUGCAAAACUCAAUGUUUAGUUCACAUGGUUUAGCAUACAUAUAAAGAUGAUUAUGUUAAUAUCUAAAUAACAAUCUAGAUGUUACUGUUAUUCAGCAGAAAUUGGUUAUUAAAGAAAGUGCAUAAACUAGAAUGGACUUCUGCUGUUAAGAGCUCAUUCAAAGAUAGUCUAUUCUAUUAAUGUUACUUAAAUCAUCAGAUUCUGUGCACAUUCUUAUAAAAUCUAAAAUAAUAUGAUUUUAUAUUGACUUACAUACUAGAGUUUUUAGGUAUCUUGUGAUCAGCCCCUUUAUUGUGUAGAUGAUAUCUAUACAAAUCAUUUAAUACUUAAAUUGAUAUAAAACCCUGCUUCAGAAAUAAAACUUUAGUUCCCAGAAGACAUCUUUCUCAAUAGAGCUACAUGCCUCAAGAAACAACUUGUCAGUAGUGAGAAUGCUCUGGAGAAAUAAUAUGGAACCUUCCUCAUGGCCUUCCUAACUGCAGUACUGUUGAUCCAAAUUGAUGCCAACUGCCAACUCUUCCAACAAAGAUGAUACAGAUGAAACUUGUGUGAAACACAACACUGAAAAACUCGACAUAUUUUUCCCCUCCUUGCUUCGGAAGAAGGGCAAAUGGAAGAAGGCAGAAUCAUUUGGCUUUCUGUAAUGUUUAACAAAAGUGCGUUUAAGUCUGAAAAGUGUACUUCAAAAAUCUAUUCCUGUACGUGAAGCAGACCCAUAUCAGGACAUCACUAACAUUUUUGAUUACUCUAUAAGCACACAAAAGCAAAUGUCAGAGAGACCUCUGUAAGGUCUAAUAAAAAUAAUUUUGUGAGGAUGCUCGUAUCUAAUGAAAUAUGAAGCAUAGCCAAACUGCUGUUUGCUGUUGUUGCAAAUUUGAUUUCAGGAUAUGGAAAAUGGUUAUAGACAAGAUAAGGGUCUCCACUGCCCCAGCCUGCACACUGCCUGGGUGAGACAGCUUAUCACUGCUCCUUCCUGUGCAGAUGCACAGAGAUGCGCCAGUUGUUCUGCUUCUGCUAAUCCCAUUAGGCAUGAAAAUCACACCCUGCUGCACCACACACUGACAAAGUCUAACACAAACCUGAACCAGAUGCUCUGGAGAAAAUGUUUAUAUCCCUUUUUGUUUUAACUAAAAUACACCUCUUACCUAAGUGGAAAAAGCGCCAAGCCUUCCUAAAUCCAAGUAGUCCACAAAGGAACCCAAGUCGUACUGCUGCAAACAUUAAGGUUGCGUCUCCAGCAUUCUCUGACCACAUAAGAAGCUAAGGAAGCCACGCGACUCCGGGGGCAUCUCUGGAUACUCUGAAAAGGAGCAUUCAACAAUUAACAAUGAAUUAGCUCGUGACUUUGUUGCGUGAAAGAGGCAGGGGUGUGACAGCUUUAGAACACCCGAGAACAAAAGGAUCGUCGAGGUAUUCCACUGGGUCAUCAUAAAGGAUGGCAGCCAUCCUCAGAGCACGUUCCUCCUUUCUCUCACACUGCAUAUUCAGUGUUUUUGGCAAAAACGUUCAAACAAGAGGACUUUCCAUAUCAUUAUUUGUUACCUACCUUCAGUCAUCUGUUACCAACUUGAAGACAGCCACUGAUAUUUUUCAGUAGUGAAAAGGGGUGAAAGUGCUGCGAUGAUGAGUAGUAUUCCUAAAAACUGCUGAAGGAAAUUUAUGAAAUGUCUUAAUUUAGCUACAGAAUUUUAGGUUUAAAUUGAGAGGGAGACAUUUUUAUUUUUCGGCCCAAAGUAGACAAGCACAGUCUCUUCUCAUCUUAUUCCCUAAGUCUAUUCGCAGAGCCAUCCCCGUGUUAAGAAGGAGCCGCUCCGUGUGGGUGCCCGGUUCUCCAGGACAUCCUGCACCACUCUGUGUGGGUGCCCGGUUCUCCAGGGCAUCCUGCACAGCCCCAUGUGGGUGCCCGGCUCUCCAGGACAUCCUGCACCACUCUGUGUGGGUGCCCGGUUCUCCAGGGCAUCCUGCACAGCCCCAUGUGGGUGCCCGGCUCUCCAGGACAUCCUGCACCACUCUGUGUGGGUGCCCGGUUCUCCAGGGCAUCCUGCACAGCCCCAUGUGGGUGCCCGGCUCUCCAGGACAUCCUGCACCACUCUGUGUGGGUGCCCGGUUCUCCAGGGCAUCCUGCACAGCCCCAUGUGGGUGCCCGGCUCUCCAGGACAUCCUGCACCCCCCCCCCCCCCCCCCCCCCCCCCCCCC